ACUACCUGUCUAGUAUAGCAUUUAUACCGGGAAACUGGGAAUGGCUCAUUAAAUCAGUUAUCGUUUAUUUGAUAGUACCUUUACUACUUGGAUAACCGUGGUAAUUCUAGAGCUAAUACAUGCUAAAAAUCCCGACUGUUUGGAAGGGAUGUAUUUAUUAGAUAAAAAAUCAAUGCUCUUUGAGCUCUUUGAUGAUUCAUAAUAACUUUUCUAAUCGCAUGGGCUUGUGCUGAGCGAUGGUUUCAUUCAAAUUUCUGCCCUAUCAACUUUCGAUGGUAGGAUAGUGGCCUACCAUGGUUUCAAGCGGGUAACGGGGAAUAAGGGGUUCGAUUCCGGAGAGGGAGCCUGAGAAACGGCUACCACAUCCAAGGAAGGCAGCAGGCGCGCAAAAUUACCCAAUCCCGACACGGGGAGGUAGUGACAAUACAUAACGAUACAGGGCCCUUUCGGGUCUUGUAAUUGGAAUGAGUACAAUGUAAAUACCUUAACGAGGAACAAUUGGAGGGCAAGUCUGGUGCCAGCAGCCGCGGUAAUUCCAGCUCCAAUAGCGUAUAUUAAAGUUGUUGCAGUUAAAAAGCUCGUAGUUGAACUUUGGGCUUGGUUGGCCGGUCCGCCUUUUUGGCGAGUACUGGACCCAACCGAGCCUUUCCUUCUGGCUAACCAUUCGCCCUUGUGGUGUUUGGCGAACCAGGACUUUUACUUUGAAAAAAUUAGAGUGUUCAAAGCAGGCCUUUGCUCGAAUAUAUUAGCAUGAGAAUAAUAGAAUAGGACGUUAUGGUUCUAUUUUGUUGGUUUCUAGGACCAUCGUAAUGAAUUAAUAGGGACGGUCGGGGGCAUCAGUAUUCAGUUGUCAGAGGUGAAAUUCUUAGAUUUACUGAAGACUAACUACUGCGAAAGCAUUUGCCAAGGACGUUUUCAUUAAUCAAGAACGAAAGUUAGGGGAUCGAAGAUGAUCAGAUACCGUCGUAGUCUUAACCAUAAACUAUGCCGACUAGGGAUCGGGUGUUGUUCUUUUUUUGACGCACUCGGCACCUUACGAGAAAUCAAAGUC
RNAcentral lists this ribosomal RNA (1051 nucleotides) under Pseudophialophora sp. Its description in RNAcentral is "SSU rRNA". It matches the Rfam family "Eukaryotic small subunit ribosomal RNA", at positions 56 to 1105 of the family's 1831-position model. Lineage: Eukaryota; Fungi; Ascomycota; Sordariomycetes; Magnaporthales; Magnaporthaceae. The record is from RNAcentral.